RNAcentral lists this long non-coding RNA (1066 nucleotides) under Solanum tuberosum (potato). Its description in RNAcentral is "long non-coding RNA (STUB_LNC004371)". The record is from RNAcentral. Lineage: Eukaryota; Viridiplantae; Streptophyta; Magnoliopsida; Solanales; Solanaceae.
ACAUAGGAGGGCGAUGAUGAGUCCAAUAUGUCUACCAAUCAACUGCUUUUGUUAUGAAAAAUACAGGGAUCACCUGCUCAAAUUUACUGAUAAUGAGUCAAGGUAUGUAUAGAUUUUAAAAUGAAUUUUAUUAUAUGCUAUGCGUCUAUGUUGUUUGAGCUCUUCAAAGAUGCCAUUAGGUGUGUGUGGGGUUCUCCAAAAGUAGAGUAUUUUUAGAGAAUUCAACAUCCAUAGUGCAUCAAAAGUGAAGAGUCUAUAAGCAACUUAGCUAUGCACAACUCUAUAAGAGGCUAUUAACUUCUGUUCUUAUGAAAAUACAGGGAAUAUUUGCUUGAGUUUAUUGGUAGUUUUUAGAAUAUUUUCUCUUCCCCUAACUAAAAGUCCAUUACAACUACCUAAUCUUUUCCAUGGCAGUCAUAUGUUCUUUACUUUGAUAAAUGACAUACCAUUGUGAAAUGAGAAUGUUGAUAGAUUACUAUUUGAAAGUGAAUAUAAUUAGGCAAGUUAUUUUUCGAAUUUUAGUCUUUAGACUGAUCAAACAUCUCUGAUUGAUUUCUUUAUACUGAUAUAUUUACAACUAAUUUGUAGCUCUGAUUUAAUUUUUAUGUUUUAGUCGAACAUUUGCAAUGACAACGUAAUAGAUGGAGCUGACCAUGUGUUAAUCAAGUUAGGUCAAAAUCACAACUUAAGAAACUCAAGAAGUCCUACAAUCUCCAAAAGUAAUGUCAUUAUAUGUUUUUUCUAUUGAAAUCCUCACGAAUCGUUGAUAAUAACAGAAUCGUCUCUGUCAUCAACAUGAAGUUUAUAUGACUUUUGAAUUACCAAACGAGUUUGGCAUAGUCAAAAAGUAUUGUAUUAGAUAACUUAUCUUUGAUCUGUUGUAAACGAGCAUGUUAUAUAUUAGAAGAUGACAUGAUGUAUUUAUUUGCAGGAACAAAUACUUAACAUGAAUCAAUCGAAGAAGCUUUUUGUUCAUUCUUCCAAGUUGUAAUGAUUUUUUAGUACUGAUAUGAUAUUUGUCAUUAGUCCAUAUUAAAUUUAACCAUUUGAACCGCAUUUUACUUAG